GUCCAGACUCCUACGGGAGGCAGCAGGGGGGAAUAUUGCACAAUGGGGGAAACCCUGAUGCAGCGACGCCGCGUGAGUGAAGAAGUAUCUCGGUACGUAAAGCUCUAUCAGCAGGGAAGAAAAUGACGGUACCUGACUAAGAAGCCCCGGCUAACUACGUGCCAGCAGCCGCGGUAAUACGUAGGGGGCAAGCGUUAUCCGGAUUUACUGGGUGUAAAGGGAGCGUAGACGGCGAUACAAGUCUGAAGUGAAAGCCCGGGGCUCAACCCCGGGACUGCUUUGGAAACUGUGUUGCUGGAGUGCUGGAGAGGCAAGCGGAAUUCCUAGUGUAGCGGUGAAAUGCGUAGAUAUUAGGAAGAACACCAGUGGCGAAGGCGGCUUGCUGGACAGUAACUGACGUUGAGGCUCGAAAGCGUGGGGAGCAAACAGGAUUAGAUACCCCAGUACG
RNAcentral lists this ribosomal RNA (448 nucleotides) under uncultured bacterium. Its description in RNAcentral is "bacterial SSU rRNA". It matches the Rfam family "Bacterial small subunit ribosomal RNA", at positions 329 to 793 of the family's 1533-position model. The record is from RNAcentral.